UACGUAGGGGGCUAGCGUUGUCCGGAAUCAUUGGGCGUAAAGCGCGUGUAGGCGGUUCGGUAAGUCCGCUGUGAAAGUCGGGGGCUCAACCCUCGAAUGCCGGUGGAUACUGUCGGACUAGAGUGCGGAAGAGGCGAGUGGAAUUCCUGGUGUAGCGGUGAAAUGCGCAGAUAUCAGGAGGAACACCAAUUGCGAAGGCAGCUCGCUGGGACGUAACUGACGCUGAGACGCGAAAGCGUGGGGAGCAAACAGG
RNAcentral lists this ribosomal RNA (253 nucleotides) under uncultured bacterium. Its description in RNAcentral is "partial 16S ribosomal RNA". It matches the Rfam family "Bacterial small subunit ribosomal RNA", at positions 524 to 776 of the family's 1533-position model. The record is from RNAcentral.